RNAcentral lists this ribosomal RNA (1564 nucleotides) under human gut metagenome. RNAcentral describes it as "bacterial LSU rRNA". It matches the Rfam family "Bacterial large subunit ribosomal RNA", at positions 831 to 2406 of the family's 2925-position model. The record is from RNAcentral.
AAUCAAACUGGGAAAUAGCUCGUACUCUCCGAAAUGCAUUUAGGUGCAGCCUCUGUUGUUUUGUUCUAGAGGUAGAGCUACUGAUUGGAUGCGAGGGCUUCACCGCCUAUCAAAUCCGGCCAAACUCCGAAUGCUAGAACAUGAAGACAGGGAGUGAGCCAGCGGGUGCUAAGGUCCGUUGACGAAAGAGGGAGAACUCAGACCAUCAGCUAAGGUCCCCAAUUAUAUGCUAAGUUGGAAUAAAAACGGGGUGGGACUGCUUAGACAGCUAGGAUGUUGGCUUGGAAGCAGCCAUUCAUUUAAAGAGUGCGUAACAGCUCACUAGUCGAGCGGUCCUGCAUGGAUAAUACGCGGGCAUAAGCAUAUAACCGAAGCUAUGGGAUUGUAGAUGAUACAAUCGGUAGGAGAGCAUUCCAUUCAGCAUAGAAGCAGUACCGUGAGGUAUUGUGGAGCGGAUGGAAAAGCAAAUGUAGGCAUAAGUAACGAUAAUGCGGGUGAGAACCCCGCACGCCGAAAGAUCAAGGAUUCCCCGGCAAUGUCAAUCAUCCGGGGGUAAGUCGGAUCCUAAGGGUAAGCCGAGUGGCGAUCCCGAUGGUAAACAGGUUAAUAUUCCUGUACUGAUCAUAACUGCGAUGCAGCGACGCAGAGGUGACACUGCUGCGUACUGACGGAAUAGUACGUUGAAACCCGUAUUCUUUGAUACCGGUAGUGAAGCACGCCGGUAGAGAUGAAAGGUGAUAGUACCGCAAUGCUUCGGUUGCGCGGAUAAUGCAGGUAAGCUGACUGCCAAGAAAACCUGCUAAGCUUCAGGUAAUGAUCAUCCGUACUGUAAACGGACACACGUGAUCAGGUAGAAAAUACUAAGGCGCUCGAGAGAUUCAUGGUUAAGGAACUAGGCAAAAUGGUCCUGUAACUUCGGGAUAAAGGACGCUCUUGUGAAAGAGCCGCAGAUAAUAGGCCCAGGCGACUGUUUACCAAAAACACAUGGCUAUGCUAAUUCGCAAGAAGAUGUAUAUGGCCUGACACCUGCCCGGUGCCGGAAGGUUAAGAGGAGAGCUCAGAGGUAACUCGAAGGUUUGAAUUGAAGCCCCGGUAAACGGCGGCCGUAACUAUAACGGUCCUAAGGUAGCGAAAUUCCUUGUCGGGUAAGUUCCGACCUGCACGAAUGGUGUAACGAUCUGGGUACUGUCUCAACCAUGAGCUCGGUGAAAUUGUAGUUCCGGUGAAGAUGCCGGAUACCCGCAACGGGACGGAAAGACCCCGUGAACCUUUACUGCAGCUUUGCAUUGAUUUUGGGUAACAGAUGUGUAGGAUAGGUCGGAGGCUUUGAUGCUGCGUCGUCAGGCGUAGAGUAGCCGUCGUUGAAAUACGACCCUUUUGUUAUCUGAGGUCUAAUCCCGUUAGGGAGACAUUGCAUGGUGGGUAGUUUGACUGGGGUGGUCGCCUCCAAAAGUGUAACGGAGGCUUCUCAAGGUACCCUCAAGGCGUUUGGUAAUCGUCUGCAGAGUGCAAUGGCAUAAGGGUGCUUGACUGUGAGACCGACACGUCGAUCAGGUUGGAAACA